UAUCGAUCUCACUCAACCAC
This 20-nucleotide small nuclear RNA is filed under the name Arabidopsis thaliana (thale cress). RNAcentral describes it as "snRNA_04671". Lineage: Eukaryota; Viridiplantae; Streptophyta; Magnoliopsida; Brassicales; Brassicaceae. The record is from RNAcentral.